GGGGUCGUUACGGAUUCGACAGGCAUUAUGAGGCAUGUUCUGCAACUCGUGUGGCGACGUUAACGCUCAGUUAAAUAUAACUGCAAAAAAUAACACUUCUUACGCUUUAGCAGCUUAAUAACCUGCAGGCGUGACUGACGGCUGUUUGCUUACGGCAACCUGAGGUCUUAAUUUAGUAAGCUGGUUGACAAGAAGUGUUUCGUACUUGUCAACGAGAUUUAGAAACUCGCUGGCUACAGGCCUGAGUGGUGUGUCGGUGACCAGUUAAAACAAGACAUCACCUAUGGUUGUAGACGAAUAUGUUAGCAGAUGUUUGGACGUGGGUUCGACUCCCACCGGCUCCAUAU
Molecule: transfer-messenger RNA, 347 nt
Filed under: Streptococcus ovuberis
Lineage: Bacteria; Bacillati; Bacillota; Bacilli; Lactobacillales; Streptococcaceae
Description: Standard tmRNA
Rfam family: transfer-messenger RNA
About the family: Bacterial tmRNA, also known as 10Sa RNA or SsrA, is named for its dual tRNA and mRNA-like properties. Its role is to liberate the mRNA from a stalled ribosome.
Source: Rfam by way of RNAcentral